RNAcentral lists this ribosomal RNA (338 nucleotides) under uncultured Pseudomonas sp. Its description in RNAcentral is "bacterial SSU rRNA". It matches the Rfam family "Bacterial small subunit ribosomal RNA", at positions 1041 to 1382 of the family's 1533-position model. The record is from RNAcentral. Lineage: Bacteria; Pseudomonadati; Pseudomonadota; Gammaproteobacteria; Pseudomonadales; Pseudomonadaceae.
CUGCAUGGCUGUCGUCAGCUCGUGCCGUGAGGUGUUGGGUUAAGUCCCCGCAACGAGCGCAACCCCUAUCUUAGUUGCCAUCAGUUCGGCUGGGCACUCUAUGGAGACUGCCACCUAAAGUGGAGGAAGUGGGGAUGACGUCAAGUCAGCAUGGCCCUUACGGCCUGGGCUACACACGUGCUACAAUGGUCGGUACAAAGGGUUGCCAAGCCGCGAGGUGGAGCUAAUCCCAUAAAACCGAUCGUAGUCCGGAUCGCAGUCUGCAACUCGACUGCGUGAAGUCGGAAUCGCUAGUAAUCGUGAAUCAGAAUGUCACGGUGAAUACGUUCCCGGGCCUU